This 884-nucleotide ribosomal RNA is filed under the name Leuconostoc citreum. Its description in RNAcentral is "bacterial SSU rRNA". It matches the Rfam family "Bacterial small subunit ribosomal RNA", at positions 383 to 1260 of the family's 1533-position model. The record is from RNAcentral. Lineage: Bacteria; Bacillati; Bacillota; Bacilli; Lactobacillales; Lactobacillaceae.
CUGAUGGAGCACGCCGCGUGUGUGAUGAAGGCUUUCGGGUCGUAAAGCACUGUUGUAUGGGAAGAAAUGCUAAAAUAGGGAAUGAUUUUAGUUUGACGGUACCAUACCAGAAAGGGACGGCUAAAUACGUGCCAGCAGCCGCGGUAAUACGUAUGUCCCGAGCGUUAUCCGGAUUUAUUGGGCGUAAAGCGAGCGCAGACGGUUGAUUAAGUCUGAUGUGAAAGCCCGGAGCUCAACUCCGGAAUGGCAUUGGAAACUGGUUAACUUGAGUGUUGUAGAGGUAAGUGGAACUCCAUGUGUAGCGGUGGAAUGCGUAGAUAUAUGGAAGAACACCAGUGGCGAAGGCGGCUUACUGGACAACAACUGACGUUGAGGCUCGAAAGUGUGGGUAGCAAACAGGAUUAGAUACCCUGGUAGUCCACACCGUAAACGAUGAAUACUAGGUGUUAGGAGGUUUCCGCCUCUUAGUGCCGAAGCUAACGCAUUAAGUAUUCCGCCUGGGGAGUACGACCGCAAGGUUGAAACUCAAAGGAAUUGACGGGGACCCGCACAAGCGGUGGAGCAUGUGGUUUAAUUCGAAGCAACGCGAAGAACCUUACCAGGUCUUGACAUCCUUUGAAGCUUUUAGAGAUAGAAGUGUUCUCUUCGGAGACAAAGUGACAGGUGGUGCAUGGUCGUCGUCAGCUCGUGUCGUGAGAUGUUGGGUUAAGUCCCGCAACGAGCGCAACCCUUAUUGUUAGUUGCCAGCAUUCAGUUGGGCACUCUAGCGAGACUGCCGGUGACAAACCGGAGGAAGGCGGGGACGACGUCAGAUCAUCAUGCCCCUUAUGACCUGGGCUACACACGUGCUACAAUGGCGUAUACAACGAGUUGCCAACCUGCGA